Molecule: ribosomal RNA, 431 nt
Filed under: uncultured bacterium
Lineage: Bacteria
Description: bacterial SSU rRNA
Rfam family: Bacterial small subunit ribosomal RNA
Source: RNAcentral
AAAGAGCACAAUAAUGAGGCUGCCGGUGACAAACAGGAGAAAGGUGGGGAUGACGUCAAGUCCUCAUGGCCCUUAUGGGUAGGGCUUCACACGUCAUACAAUGGUACAUACAGAGGGCCGCCAACCCGCGAGGGGGAGCUAAUCCCAGAAAGUGUAUCGUAGUCCGGAUUGUAGUCUGCAACUCGACUACAUGAAGUUGGAAUCGCUAGUAAUCGCGGAUCAGCAUGUCGCGGUGAAUACGUUCCCGGGUCUUGUACACACCGCCCGUCACACCAUGGGAGCGGGUUUUACCAGAAGUAGGUAGCUUAACCGCAAGGAGGGCGCUUACCACGGUAGGAUUCGUGACUGGGGUGAAAUCGUAACAAGGUAGCCGUAUCGGAAGGUGCGGCUGGAUCUCCUCCUUAAUCGGAUCCCGGGCCCGUCGUACUGUC